GUAGGUGGCAAGCGUUGUCCGGAAUUAUUGAGCGUAAAGCGCGCGCAGGCGGUUCUUUAAGUCUGAUGUGAAAGCCCACGGCUCAACCGUGGAGGGUCAUUGGAAACUGGAGAACUUGAGUACAGAAGAGGAAAGCGGAAUUCCACGUGUAGCGGUGAAAUGCGUAGAGAUGUGGAGGAACACCAGUGGCGAAGGCGGCUUUCUGGUCUGUAACUGACGCUGAGGCGCGAAAGCGUGGGGGAGCAAACAGGAUUAGAUACCCUGGUAGUCCACGCCGUAAACGAUGAGUGCUAAGUGUUAGGGGGUUUCCGCCCCUUAGUGCUGCAGCUAACGCAUUAAGCACUCCCGCCUGGGAGUACGGCCGCAAGGCUG
RNAcentral lists this ribosomal RNA (372 nucleotides) under uncultured organism. Its description in RNAcentral is "partial 16S ribosomal RNA". It matches the Rfam family "Bacterial small subunit ribosomal RNA", at positions 527 to 896 of the family's 1533-position model. The record is from RNAcentral.